This 1445-nucleotide ribosomal RNA is filed under the name uncultured bacterium. Its description in RNAcentral is "bacterial SSU rRNA". It matches the Rfam family "Bacterial small subunit ribosomal RNA". The record is from RNAcentral.
CUAGCUACAGGCUUAACACAUGCAAGUCGAGGGGCAGCAUGGUCUUAGCUUGCUAAGGCCGAUGGCGACCGGCGCACGGGUGAGUAACACGUAUCCAACCUGCCGUCUACUCUUGGACAGCCUUCUGAAAGGAAGAUUAAUACAAGAUGGCAUCAUGAGUCCGCAUGUUCACAUGAUUAAAGGUAUUCCGGUAGACGAUGGGGAUGCGUUCCAUUAGAUAGUAGGCGGGGUAACGGCCCACCUAGUCUUCGAUGGAUAGGGGUUCUGAGAGGAAGGUCCCCCACAUUGGAACUGAGACACGGUCCAAACUCCUACGGGAGGCAGCAGUGAGGAAUAUUGGUCAAUGGGCGAGAGCCUGAACCAGCCAAGUAGCGUGAAGGAUGACUGCCCUAUGGGUUGUAAACUUCUUUUAUAAAGGAAUAAAGUCGGGUAUGGAUACCCGUUUGCAUGUACUUUAUGAAUAAGGAUCGGCUAACUCCGUGCCAGCAGCCGCGGUAAUACGGAGGAUCCGAGCGUUAUCCGGAUUUAUUGGGUUUAAAGGGAGCGUAGAUGGAUGUUUAAGUCAGUUGUGAAAGUUUGCGGCUCAACCGUAAAAUUGCAGUUGAUACUGGAUAUCUUGAGUGCAGUUGAGGCAGGCGGAAUUCGUGGUGUAGCGGUGAAAUGCUUAGAUAUCACGAAGAACUCCGAUUGCGAAGGCAGCCUGCUAAGCUGCAACUGACAUUGAGGCUCGAAAGUGUGGGUAUCAAACAGGAUUAGAUACCCUGGUAGUCCACACGGUAAACGAUGAAUACUCGCUGUUUGCGAUAUACUGCAAGCGGCCAAGCGAAAGCGUUAAGUAUUCCACCUGGGGAGUACGCCGGCAACGGUGAAACUCAAAGGAAUUGACGGGGGCCCGCACAAGCGGAGGAACAUGUGGUUUAAUUCGAUGAUACGCGAGGAACCUUACCCGGGCUUAAAUUGCAGAUGAAUUACGGUGAAAGCCGUAAGCCGCAAGGCAUCUGUGAAGGUGCUGCAUGGUUGUCGUCAGCUCGUGCCGUGAGGUGUCGGCUUAAGUGCCAUGACGAGCGCAACCCUUGUUGUCAGUUACUAACAGGUUCCGCUGAGGACUCUGACAAGACUGCCAUCGUAAGAUGUGAGGAAGGUGGGGAUGACGUCAAAUCAGCACGGCCCUUACGUCCGGGGCUACACACGUGUUACAAUGGGGGGUACAGAGGGCCGCUACCACGCGAGUGGAUGCCAAUCCCCAAAACCUCUCUCAGUUCGGACUGGAGUCUGCAACCCGACUCCACGAAGCUGGAUUCGCUAGUAAUCGCGCAUCAGCCACGGCGCGGUGAAUACGUUCCCGGGCCUUGUACACACCGCCCGUCAAGCCAUGGGAGCCGGGGGUACCUGAAGUGCGUAACCGCGAGGAGCGCCCUAGGGUAAAACUGGUGACUGGGGCUAAG